CCGGCGCACGGGUGAGUAACGCGUAUGCAACUUGCCUAUCAGGAGGGGGAUAACCCGGCGAAAGUCGGACUAAUACCGCAUGAAGCAGGGGCCCCGCAUGGGGAUAUUUGCUAAAGAUUCAUCGCUGAUAGAUAGGCAUGCGUUCCAUUAGGCAGUUGGCGGGGUAACGGCCCACCAAACCGACGAUGGAUAGGGGUUCUGAGAGGAAGGUCCCCCACAUUGGUACUGAGACACGGACCAAACUCCUACGGAAGGCAGCAG
This 261-nucleotide ribosomal RNA is filed under the name uncultured bacterium. RNAcentral describes it as "partial 16S ribosomal RNA". It matches the Rfam family "Bacterial small subunit ribosomal RNA", at positions 95 to 354 of the family's 1533-position model. The record is from RNAcentral.